CGAGGUUUCACAAUUUAGGGAUAAUUGAGUAUUGAUUAUCUAAAGAAUAGACGGUGACUUAACUUUGUGCAAUAUUUUAUUAAAUUUUGAUGUGCUUAUAGAAGUCAGUUUGGAGGUUUUAUGGUAAGGUUAACGUGUAAUUGAGUUUAGUCUUUAGUUAUUACGAAGUUGGUGAAAGGCUUACGUGUAGCAAGCUGUGACGUGUAUUAGUAAGCUUUUUUUUUUAGUUAUGGUGUCUUGUUAGUAAGCCGUGAUUUAUUUUAAGUAAUAAGCUGUUUUCUACAGUCUCCGAAGUUUUUGCUUGUGUGAUCUAAUUUGGCAAGUGGUUAGUUUGUGAAAAGUCAUUGACGGCAGAUGACAAUGUUAGUUGAAUUUAAGAAAUCCUGUCAAAUCGUCCCAGUCCUGACAAAUCAAUUUUAGAACUUAAAGUAGGAAAGCAACUCUAAAACUGGUGAAGACUUAGUUGCUAGUUUUUUUUUAUGAAGCCUUAAUUUUGUAUUAAUCAAUUAAAGCUUAAAAAAUCCGAGUGGAUAAAGCUUUUUUUACCAAACUUCUCAGUAUAUAAAUGAGCUUAUUCUACCAGACGAACGUUUCCCCUACCCAUUGACUGUAUUUCAUUGCAUAAAACUAUUUUGAAGGUAAACCUUCAGUUCACUCAAUAAUGCUUAAGAAGCUCUGUAUUUUUACUAUGAAGAUCGCUUGAAAAAGUAUUAUAACUUAAUCAUAGUAUUGGUAUUUCUAUAUAAGCAUUCCGCAUCGUUCGUCCCGGCGAAUACGAAAGCCACCAGGAAUAGGGGCGUCACAUGUAUUUCGCCGUGUUUAGUAAGAGCCCCUGGGGGUUAAUUACAGUCGUCCGAAUAAAUAUUACUUUCUUGUUCAGGAGGUAAAACUGCAUAGAAAAACCGCAACUGCCAGUCUAGGCCGCCGCGGAAUAGUAAUAUAUAUCUUAGGUUUAAAUGGUUAGAUUAAAUGUGCUUUCUAAGCCCUGUUCCAAGAAACAGGAUAUUAAAUGUAUGUGUAGUUCAAUUCACAUUUUUUUCACUCAUAAUUACUAUGAUACUCAUGACCUGGGAGGAUUUUCUUGCCACCUAACGUGCAACAAAAAUUUGAUUGUCCAAAAUUAAGGUGGAGACUUGCUGGACUCGCAAGUAAUUAUCCAAGAGAUGCAAUUUAGUGUGCUUUGGCGAGACCAGUAACUUAUUUAACGUGCAGGUGGGUGGUUGGCAUAGUAUUUUUUGCUUAAUUUCUUUCACAUAGAAUCUUUUCAGUGGAAAAUUCAUUUGUAUGACGCAGUUAGCCACUGUUGUAGUUUUGGGAAAACUGGCAUUUUUCCUGUUCAUGUGGCAAUAUUUUACCUGAUGUUGAAAGAAGUCAGACCAUUGAUGGUAUCAGUCUCUUGGUAAGCAAUCAAAAUUAAAUAUUUGGAGGGAUUUUAUCAAAAGGGAUUAACUAGAGACUGGAGCAGAAGAAUCUUUGCCUUACACCUGUUGGAAUGGAAGUGCUGUUAAGUGUUCUCUCUAGAGCUUGUUUCAUUUGCAAUGAUUAUCUUAAUAAUAUUACCCUGUGGAGGGAGUAUAUUAACGGAAGAAUGUUCGACCAUGAUUGAUAUAGGAAGCUAUAUGUAGAAGCUAUACGUGCUCCUUGUGCUUUACAUAGAUGACCAUUUCAGAACAGUAUCUAAUUUCUAGUAAGUCUGGAUUUUAUUUCCAAAAGCUAUAGUGCAUUUCAGGUCCUGAAUUAAAUGUUGCAUAGUUUUUAAAGUUGCCAGUACGUCCUAUAACUUUCUGAUUCUAGUCAUACUUGAUUCAUCAGUCUUAAGUCUUGCAGAUUUGCAUUAAUCUGCAUGGGGCACCUUGUAAAGCAGGAGUGGUAGCUAUAUAGUCACUACUUAACUGUUUUUGCUAUGUAGUGGUUGAACGUAUCUCUUAAAGUCUGAGCUCUUUAAAAUUAAGAUCUCCAAGUAAGGGAAUAUUUACUGCCACAAAGCAUGCUAAGUUUGAAUUAGUAGAAACCACCUUAUAUGAUAAAGAAAUAACUAUUGAAUUACUGAGGUAAUACUAAGUCGAUUAAAGGAAAAGGUAAUACUAGGUGCACAAAAUUUAAAUUUAUUUUCUAAUUAAGUACUGGUAAACCUCAAGCCAAUUGAAAUUCCACAAAUGCGUAAAAUGAGGCAUUGGAAGUUUAACUAAUUAGUUCUUCCUUUUGCAGGUCCUUUUGCAGCAGAAGCUGAACUUCGUAGCAAGAUGAUUGGGUAAUAUUUUAGUUUCAACCAUUAUGGGAAAUCUAUUAUAUUGAUAUUUUUCCCGAGUAAAGCACGUGAUAACAAAACACUUCUUCUCAAUACAUUAUUGUCGCUAAUGCAUACUUACAGAGAAAAAAAAAGAUUAAGUUUUUACCUCGAAUUUUUCCUAAGUCGGGAGAGGUGUUUCCUCUACGGUAAUGUUUACUUUUAAUGAGCCCUCUAACUUACUUUCUUACGCAAACAAAAGCAGUUCCAGUUACUCAUUAUUGGCUGAGAGGUGUGACAUCGUUAUGACGUCAUGGGUUUCAUAACCAAUUACGAAUGACUUGAGUCGAAAACUAAGUUUCACUAGCAUUUCAGCGGAGUAAUACAGUUACCUGUCUAGUGUCCACUGGUAUCCUUGUUUGACUGAAUACUCGAAUAAUGAAGCAAAAAACGGCAUUUUGUCUUCCUGUACCUAUGGCAGAGGUAGUGGCUGGCCCUUCUGGCAUUAAUUUUGACAGACCUUCGAUUUCCUACCGAUUGUUUGCAGUGCAAUGUGGUCGUCGGGUACCUGGCCACUUCCUACUUUAAGUUGCAUGUCAGGGAACCUUGCAACGGCUUCACGUUUUCCCUCAAAGCACCAGCACAUUUUUAUCAACCAACAGUUUAAGUUCCACAGGUUUCCAGCGCUUCCCUCUGUCGUAAUCGCUGACUACAGAAAUUGGUUAGCAUGAAGCAGUGAUAGACCAAUGGACCAUCUUGGUUUGGAUUCCGCGUGUAAUUGGUAUCUGUCCUCGUCGCCGGCUCUGGCAAAAAUUUCAAGAGUAGUUCAAGCAGGGCAUGAAGAUUAAUCAUAAAGGAAAUAAAGGAAAUCAGCAUUAUACAUGUGAGAACAAACUUUGUAAGAUUGGAGUGUGAACAAGAUUAAUCUGAAGGAAAGCAGAAUAGUUGCUUGCAGUCUUUGAAGAAGAGAAUACACGAAAUAGCCGUACAUGAAGAGUUAGAGAACACACGACACUUAACAGUAUUUGAAGAGGGCGAGAGAGUGCACGCAUAGAAAGAUAACAGCAGUAUUUGUGGAGUUCGAAAACACACUACACCUUUGAAGCUGUAAAAUUAUUAGCUUCAAAAUAAAAGUCGGGUAAUAACAGAUUUAAAGAAAGUUAGAAAAACCCUUGACGUAAGACAAGGAAUAACAAAUUUGAACUGAGAGAUAGUUCCUUUAUCCUUGUAAUAAAUAUUCUAGGAAAAAAAUUGUAAAGGGAUUAAAUGUGUAAUAAAUACUCUAGGAAAAAAAUUAUAAUCGGGAUUUGUCUAUGCUUAAACAUCUAAUCCCUUUAUGUACAUGUGUUGAUAAAUGUUUAAAGAUCACGUUUAGAGAUCUUUUGAAAAGCCAGUAUCUCUGUCUUGCCGGUUGUUUUCCUCAGUUCUCCCCGUUUUGCCGUUUUAGUUCCCUUCUUCCGUUCUGUCAUUUUCUUUCUAGACAGCUCUUCCUUUGCUUCGUGUUUCUUCCCUUCUUCCGUAACGUUACUAAUCUUUCCCUUCACUCACGCCUCCUGCUAUGUCUUUUUCUUCUCUGCUCUGAAACUAGAAACUUAGUUCUGAAACUAACUUUAAAUCAAAGAAUUUUGAUAGUUCAAACUAGCUCUAAAUCAAGAAUGCUGAUUGUGUAAACAAACAACGGGAGGCAAUAAAAGUGUGCACUAAAUAGUUCUGAAACUACCUUUAAAUCAAGAUUUCUAAUAGUUUCAACUAGCUCAAAGAAUUCUGAUAGUUUGAACACUUAAACAACGGGAGGCGAUAAAAAGUGGGCACUAGACUACUUAAAACGCCUUUACGGCGUUAUUAGAUUUCUUGUUGACCCAUUCACAAUCUAUGAAGGUUUGAUUAUAAAUUUAAACUUAAAAUCCUUACUUUUUAGUGAACUUAAAUCAAUUACGAACUUUAAUACAUGAAAUUAAUACAUUGUGACAAAUUACUCAAACUUAUUACAAUAGCUUACUAGAACUUAAUAGUACACGAGAGCUUAAGGUAAGUAACAAAUAUAAAUUUUUAAGAUUUAAAUUGAAAGCUUUAACAAAAAUAUUUUUUAUAAACCUAAUUUAUAUUGAAAGGCGGCAAAAACUCGCUGGAAAAUCGAAAACUCACCAAAUUCAGUCUCGUCCAGAACUAUUAUACUAUACGUUUACCACCAAACAGUAAAGAAAACAUACCUUGUGAUCUAUAAAAGUUUGAAACCAGGUAAAUUUUCUCAAGUCUUGCAUUUCCUCCAAUGAAAAACAAUACAAUUCACUGUUUUUUUUCUCCAGCCAGGUAAGAAGAAAGCUGAAAAAAAUUAACCAAAUUGUGAAAACUCCUUAAGCCAAACAACUGAUAAAACAUGUGAUUUGCAUAAACAAAUUAGAACUUUUAUAAGAUUUGGCAGCUUUCAUUAUUUAAACUGAAUAACUUUUCUUUUAUUGGAUGACUAUUUAGUGGAAAUAUAAAAAAAUUCAUAUAAAAAACCUAGUUGCCGAUUUCAUUGUUUUUGUUAGGCCUCUAGUGAUAAAAUGAAUAGUACUGUGUAACGACUACGUAUUUAAGUUACCUAUUAUGCAUCAGUUAUAAGAACUACAAAUAAUUCUGCUUUUGCAACGCAUUCCUGCACACCAGUUUUAGUACUUAUUUUAAUAAUCCAUACACAUUUAUAAUUCUACUUUUGCUAGGCAACCCUGCACGCCAGUCAUACUAUUUUAAUUAUCCAUGAUUUUUUUUUUUCUAGGCAUCCAUGAACAGCAGUUAUGUUUUGAUAAUCCAAAUAUUUGUAAUUUGGCUUUAAACUAUUCUUCAUAAACUUUUAGUGCGUUAUCUAAAAGCUUAAUGUAUUAUUUCAAUCUAAAUUAUUUUACAACCAGCAAUACUCACACACUGAAAAAGGAGUUUCACAUUAAAUUCCAAAAAAUUAUACAGCUAAACUAUCGGAUUACAAGAUAGUAUAAAUAGCCCAAAUAAAUUGCCAACAUAAAAAAAAUAUGUACCUGGAAAGAUAUACUUAGCUAUUUAAUUCUGCUGUGACUGAAAGCAUAACUUUUGAAGUCCUCCAGGGGCCAAACUUCCAAGUCCUCCAGGGGCCAAACUUCCAAGUCCUCCAGGGGCCAAACUUCCAAGUCCUCCAGGGGCCAAACUUCCAAGUCCUCCAGGGGCCAAACUUCCAAGUCCUCCAGGGGCCAAACUUCCAAGUCCUCCAGGGGCCAAACUUCCAAGUCCUCCAG
Macrobrachium nipponense is the source of this 5475-nucleotide long non-coding RNA. RefSeq lists it as uncharacterized. The transcript has 3 exons. The record is from RefSeq and is a predicted model, not a curated record. NCBI's taxonomy places the organism in Eukaryota, Metazoa, Arthropoda, Malacostraca, Decapoda, Palaemonidae.